CAGGGAGACAACAAAAUGUUUAAUAUUAUUAUUUUGUCACCUUAGGUCGAUCGGUAUCUCACGUUCUUAAUUUAUUAAGAAUUUCAUUUCCUAAGUUUUUCUAGGUCACACCCAUUAUUUUUCCUGGGCCAUUAGCUCAGGUGGUUAGAGCGCACCCCUGAUAAGGGUGAGGUCCCUGGUUCAAGUCCAGGAUGGCCCAUAUCUCUAUGUUGGGGGUAUAGCUCAGUUGGUAGAGCGCCUGCUUUGCAAGCAGGAUGUCAGCGGUUCGAGUCCGCUUACCUCCACUGAUUACCACCUCUUCCAUAUCUAUAGAAAGGAAAUGUUUUGAGUUGUGAUCAAAUUCUGAACGAAUCUAGCUUCCUAAUGAAAUCAUUAAGAUGCUGGACUCAUUGAAUUAAUUUCAUUGUUUUCAGAGAACCUUGACAACUGCAUAGAUUAUUUUUAAAGACAAUAAGCAUCUUUAAUGAUGCAGAUUUAUUAUUUGUGCGAACGCAUUAAAUAACAAUUCUAUUAAGCUGAUGCUUCAA
Molecule: transfer RNA, 527 nt
Filed under: uncultured Prochlorococcus sp.
Lineage: Bacteria; Bacillati; Cyanobacteriota; Cyanophyceae; Synechococcales; Prochlorococcaceae
Description: partial 16S-23S ribosomal RNA intergenic spacer
Rfam family: tRNA (bases 212-284)
Source: RNAcentral